GUUUCCGUAGUGUAGUGGUCAUCACGUUUGCCUCACACGCAAAAGGUCCCCAGUUCGAAACUGGGCGGAAACA
RNAcentral lists this transfer RNA (73 nucleotides) under Danionella translucida. It matches the Rfam family "tRNA". Rfam says of the family: Transfer RNA (tRNA) molecules are approximately 80 nucleotides in length. The record is from Rfam by way of RNAcentral. RNAcentral also lists the same sequence under 1 other name. Lineage: Eukaryota; Metazoa; Chordata; Actinopteri; Cypriniformes; Danionidae.